ACGGGUGAGUAACGCGUAGGUAACCUGCCUGGUAGCGGGGGAUAACUAUUGGAAACGAUAGCUAAUACCGCAUAAGAGUAGAUGUUGCAUGACAUUUGCUUAAAAGGUGCAAUUGCAUCACUACCAGAUGGACCUGCGUUGUAUUAGCUAGUUGGUGGGGUAACGGCUCACCAAGGCGACGAUACAUAGCCGACCUGAGAGGGUGAUCGGCCACACUGGGACUGAGACACGGCCCAGACUCCUACGGGAGGCAGCAGUAGGGAAUCUUCGGCAAUGGACGGAAGUCUGACCGAGCAACGCCGCGUGAGUGAAGAAGGUUUUCGGAUCGUAAAGCUCUGUUGUAAGAGAAGAACGAGUGUGAGAGUGGAAAGUUCACACUGUGACGGUAUCUUACCAGAAAGGGACGGCUAACUACGUGCCAGCAGCCGCGGUAAUACGUAGGUCCCGAGCGUUGUCCGGAUUUAUUGGGCGUAAAGCGAGCGCAGGCGGUUAGAUAAGUCUGAAGUUAAAGGCUGUGGCUUAACCAUAGUACGCUUUGGAAACUGUUUAACUUGAGUGCAAGAGGGGAGAGUGGAAUUCCAUGUGUAGCGGUGAAAUGCGUAGAUAUAUGGAGGAACACCGGUGGCGAAAGCGG
RNAcentral lists this ribosomal RNA (634 nucleotides) under uncultured Bacilli bacterium. RNAcentral's name for it is "bacterial SSU rRNA". It matches the Rfam family "Bacterial small subunit ribosomal RNA", at positions 102 to 724 of the family's 1533-position model. Lineage: Bacteria; Bacillati; Bacillota; Bacilli. The record is from RNAcentral.